AAGGAUCAUUAACGAGUUUUGAAACGAGUUGUAGCUGGCCUUCCGAGGCAUGUGCACGCUCUGCUCAUCCACUCUACCCCUGUGCACUUACUGUAGGUUGGCGUGGGCUCCUUUGCGGGAGCAUUCUGCCGGCCUAUGUAUACUACAAACACUUUAAAGUAUCAGAAUGUAAACGCGUCUAACGCAUCUAUA
This 192-nucleotide unclassified non-coding RNA is filed under the name Trametes versicolor. RNAcentral describes it as "ITS1". Lineage: Eukaryota; Fungi; Basidiomycota; Agaricomycetes; Polyporales; Polyporaceae. The record is from RNAcentral.